CAAAAUUGUGGAUCGCAUUAUUUUGUGGUAAUAGAGAAUCAUAAUCCAUAAGUACAGAUUUCAAUAUAAACACAGCACUAGAAUUGAAAAGAAUAGGAGUAAUAAUAAGCCAUAAAUCAAGGGGUAAUAAACAUGAAAGCGUGUUAGAAUGGCCCAUCACACAAAUAGAAUAGGGUCCGCCGCAUAAUUACUCCACCGCCAUGUGAGCUGUGCGAGUUUCUCUCUCCCCCUUAUCUCUCCCACCACUCUCCCAUUCUCUUACAAAACACACACACAAACACACACUUCAACUCACUCAACUCCCUGUCCUAAAAUGACACCACAAUCUCUCUCUCUCCUCUUUCUCCUCAUCUGCAUCUCUUACACAACACUCCCAGUCUCAUCACAGAUCGAGACACUGGACUCGAAUCUGCAGUGGCCUUCAGCAUCAUCUGGCUACGCAGGAGUGGAGCUGGAGCUCGAUGAAGACCAAGAGGAUGUAAUAGACGGCGCGAGAAGAUCGCUGUACUGGAGAUCUAUGCAUUAUUACAUCUCCUACGGAGCUUUGUCGGCGAAUAGAAUACCUUGUCCAGCUCGGUCAGGGAGAUCUUAUUACACGCAUAAUUGCCAUUCGGCUACUGGUCCAGCUCACCCGUAUUCUCGAGGCUGUUCUGCCAUUACUCGUUGCAGACGAUAGAUUAAAAUCAUUAAUAUCGAUAAUAUGAUAAUUGAUUCCACUUUGUACUUGUGGUGUUUCAGAUUUGUGAAAUUAUAUGUGAUUACUGCGAGAUUUGGUUAUCAGAUCGAACGUGAGUAAUGAAUUGUACUGAUAGUAUGUUGUUAAUUGUAAUCAUAGAGUGAAAGUGAUUACUAAUGAUGAUUAUAUUGUACUGUGA
Daucus carota subsp. sativus is the source of this 875-nucleotide long non-coding RNA. RefSeq lists it as uncharacterized. The transcript is spliced from 2 exons. The record is from RefSeq and is a predicted model, not a curated record. Lineage: Eukaryota; Viridiplantae; Streptophyta; Magnoliopsida; Apiales; Apiaceae.